Long non-coding RNA from Onychostruthus taczanowskii (white-rumped snowfinch), 1042 nucleotides. RefSeq lists it as uncharacterized. Lineage: Eukaryota; Metazoa; Chordata; Aves; Passeriformes; Passeridae. The record is from RefSeq and is a predicted model, not a curated record. The transcript is spliced from 2 exons.
GGAGUCCCUGUGGGUUUACACCAAGCAGAAUUGCCACAGAGUCUUUGGAAUACUCCCCUGUGCCAGGGGAACUGGGCACUCCCCAUCUGCUAAAGCCAUUUUUCAGGGGCAGCAAAUCACAUGGAAUAGUCACCAGCAGGUUUGACAAUGCCUGUGGAAAGCCAAUUCAAAACCCAGCAAGAUGGGAGGAAAUUCACCUUUCCACAUCAGGAAAUGCAUAAUAACUGCCCUUUGAUGACUCUGAAAAAGUCAGGUUUUCAGUCCUGAAGGUGUAUUUUCUGUCUCAUUUUUGAUUCUCUUCAAGCUUGUUACAGAAACAUGGCCAAGGUAAUUUCUUUAGGCAAUUUCUUUAUUACCAAGGCAAUUUUCAAAGGUUGUUUCUGUUGUGUUUAUGGAGCCUUUUUAUCCCUUUCAGGUGUGUUGCACAGAGCUGGGUCACUCAGGUGUGUCACAGCCAGGUGUGUCACAGCCAGGUGUGUCACAGCCAGGUGUGCUCUCAGUGCCCCCCAGUUCCAGGGGAAAUCCUCAGCACAGGAAAAGCUCCCCCUGUUUGAACAGCCCCAAGCAGCAGCAGCAGCAGCAGCUCAGAGCCAGCCCUGGCCACCCCUGUGCCCUCAGCCCAGCCAGGCUGGGGUCCCGUGGCCACCAUGGCUAGGAGAUUGUCACUUGCUCUGGAUUUGGCAUGGAUAAAACCCCUCUGGAGCAGCAUCACCCUCCCUGGCACCUUCCCAGCAGGCUGUGCCAGCUGAAUUCCCUCCUGCUCCUGAGGCAGGGGCUCACCCCAAGGCUUGCCUGCAGCCUCCUUCACUGCUGGAAUUCCUGCCCAGGUGUGAGCAGUGCCAGCUCUUGUUCCAGUUGUGUGUCCUGGGGUCCUGCUCCACUGCCUGGGAGCACCACAGGGCACUGAGAAUCCUUCAGAGCUUUCCCAUCAGUCAGGGAAGGGACAAUGACACCAGCUCAGAGUAACCCCUCACCUAGAGGACUCAGCAAUCUUUAAGGAAAACCAUUUAACAUCUUUCGUGGAAGUCUAUUGAUCCAAAAA